AAAUAAUUAAAAAAGAAAAACAAACCCAAUCUUAAAAACAUACUUAAGGGUGUAUCUAUACUUUAAGGUUUCAAUCAACCAAAUCCCCAAAUUCAAUGGGGAUAAUUCAACGGUUAAAAUAUGCCUAUAGUCCCUAAACAAGUACAGGGACUAAUUUCAUAAUUCUUUAAAAGUAUAGGGACUAUAAGCACAUUUUAACCUAAUUCAACGCUUGGGAAAAAGUAAAUUUACCUCAGCAGCAAGGUAUUCAAGAACAGCAGCAAGGUAAACCGGAGCACCGGUUCCCACACGUUGAGAGUAUCGCCCUUUCUUCAAGUAUCGGCCAAUUCGACCAACGGGAAACUGUAAUCCGGCUUUCACCGAACGAGAAACCGGCUUCUUCUUUGGACCGCCGCCUUUCCUUCCUCCAGCUCCUUUCUUCACCUUUGAUCCGGCAUCCAUCACUUCAAAUACAAAUUGGAGGAAAAAAUCGAAAACGGAAAUGAAAUUUCGCAGUAAAAUUUUCUCGAGAAAAUGUUUGUGAUUUCUUAUCGGAAAAUUUGGUUAUAUUUAUAUGCGAGGUGAGAAAAAUGGGAGACAUUUGGCUUACGGAUUUGGAAAUUUUGAGCCGCUUGAUUGGUAGUUUAAUCGACGGCGGAUAAUAAUCUUGUUUGGCGAUCCUCGUGAAAUGGAACGAUCCAAUCAACUUGUUAGAAAGCGUUAGAUCUAUUAAUAAGUAAUUAUUUGGGUCAAUUUUACAUAUAGUCCCUCAACUAUUAAUUGAUUUCCAUUUUGAUCACUUAAGUUUAAUUUUUUUAUCAUUAACAUUAUCGAAAUUACCAAAUAAUUACCACCAUCCGUAUACCAAAUACUUACCCUAAUGCAUUAAUAAAAUUAUUUUCAUUUAAAUAAUAAACAAUUUAAAAUAGUACACUACACAACUUAUAACUCAAUAUUCAUAUGUUUUUAUUUUAAGCACUGAUUUUUUUUUUUUGCAAAAAGGGCACAAUUGUUAGCAAUAUUUUCAUUUUACUCACUCUAGGUUAUAAAGGUCGACAAAAAUCCUAUCUACAAUGCCAUAUCUUUUUGUUUUCCACAUAUGUAUAUAAUUUCCACCUCUGAUUCCCAUCCUCAUAUCCCUCAAUCUUCAUCUUCAAACACAGCCUUCCACAUUCUAGUCCUCUAACUCAAACCAGCUCCAUGCACAAAAAAUUUCAGUCAUUGUUACUAUCAUCCAAUGCUAAAAUCGACCACCAUCUAUACCACAUCAACCACUGCCUAACCCCAUUACCACCAUCACUUGUCGUAACAGUAACCAAAUAAAAAACCCCCAAACAACCCAAUAACAAUAAACAUCCACAUAAAAAAUACCUAAUUUCUAAUCAAUAAGAGGGAGAGAAGGGGAACAGAGGGGGAGGGAGGGAGGGAGAGAGAGUGUGGGGGGGGGGAGAAGAAGAAGAAAAAUAAGGAGUGAGAAAAAGAAACACAAGAGAAGAAGAAACCCCUUUAAGGUUUAUGAUGGCGGACGACAGUUAACCUAAAUGAAGUAAAUGUGACACAUCACGUGUAGUUAUCUGGUUAGUCUAUUAGCCACGUCAGUUUUUAACAAUACAAAUAAAUGAAAAUUUCAAUAGAAAUGAUCAGUUUGCUUUUUGAUCUAAUAUAUAGGUACUAAUUUGCACAUUUUUUAAAUAAAUGAGACAAAAUACAAUCUGUUUCCUUGGACAAAAACCUCCAUAUUAAGAUUGUAAUGGCAAAUAUUGUUGCAUUUGGAGUUACGAAAUGAUUGUAAUGGUUGAAAGUAUUAAUUUAGCUUAAAUAAAAUACAAUGAAUCAUAACUUUAGUUGACUAUCGUCUGCAAAAAUUGUGGGUAGUAUAUGAAUAACUUAAAAGCUUUUUGAAUAAACCCAACAAUAGCUCAAUCUAUUUUAAGUUGAUUGUACCCGUACCAUCUAACAAUUUUGUUCAUUAGGAAACCAGUUUCAAAUGGCCCCGAUUCUAAUCUCGGUGGAGGAGGUCUGUAUUCCCUUAGUUUGGCAGCGUUAACGAAAAUAGUCGAUCCAUGCAAGAACUUUACAUUUCUCAAAAACGAUGUAGAUUAACUACUAGAUUACAUUUCAAAUAAAUAUUUAUAUAUAAAGAGAUUUUCAAAUUUUAAAAAAAUUAUCGUUGUCACCUGUUAAUUAGAUUAUUUUCUGUUAUCUUAGUUAGGAGAUUUAGUCAAAUUAGUAUUAAAUAAUUAUCCUAAUUUAUUGGUUAUUUUGUUGAGUAAGAGUGCUAGUAUUUAAAGGUUGUCAAUCUCUUAAGAAUCUGCAAAACUAUUACAACAGACUAUUACAACAGAUUAUUUUGUUCUUUUAUAUAAACUCUAAAAUAUAACGUUGAUAAUGAGGACAAAUUUUUAUUCAAUCAAAAAUAUAUUAAGUUCUCAAUUACUAUUAAAAUCUAACAUUUGGUAUCAGAGCUUGAAGAGGAUGACAUUUGAUAACAACCAUCAAUUUCUCGUUUAGAUAAUUUUUAUGAUUACUGGACUAUGUUGAUGAAGAAUUUAUUAAGGUCCAAAGAAUAUUAGGACAUUGUGGAGAAUCGUGUAGCUAAAUCAACAACAAGAGAAAUGUCUACUGAAGCACAAGCCAAGGCUUUGGCAGAUUGAAAACUCAAAGAUUUAAAAGCAAAAAAUUAAUUAUUUCAAGCAACUAAUCAUUCAAUUUUAGAGACAAUUCUCCAAAAGGAUACUUCCUAGCAGAUUUGGGAUUCAAUGAAAAAGAAGUUUUCGGCAUCAAAUAGGGUUAAGCAAAUAUUGCUUCGAUCAUUGACAAGAGAAUUUGAACUUCUUCAAAUGAAAUCAAGAGAAUUUGUCAUAGAUUUCAUUAGAAGAACAAUGGGAAUUGUAAACAAGAUGUGCUUUCAUGGUGUAGACAUGAAAGAUGCUAAAAUUGUGUUGAAGAUAUUGAGAUCACUAACUCCAAAAUCGAAUUAUGUUUUUUGUUCCAUUGAAGAAUCUAAAAAUGUUAAUUUGUCCAUUGAUGAUGAGCUACAAAGCUCUUUAAUUUGUCAUGAGCCCAAAGUCAAUCUCUCAAAGCGUGCACCGAAUCCUCAAAUACAAAAGGAAGUGGUCGUGGAAGGGGAGGACGUGGUCGUGAGAAUAAAGACAACAGAUCUUAUAAUUCCACUCAUGCUUCUAAAAUAGAAGAUUCCUAAUAAAGAGGAAGAGGUUAUUUUGACAAACUUAAGAUUGAAUGUUAUAGAUGUGGGAAUUAUGAUCACUAAAAGAAUGAAUGAUAUACAAAGCUAUCAAAAGAAAAAGGAAGAAAAGUCUAAAUUUGUCGAACUGAAGGAAGAGGGGACACUUUUGAUGGCCUUUUACGCAAUAGAGGAGUUCGAUCAACAAACUUGGUAUGUGGAUACAGGCUGCAACAAUCACAUGAUCGGUUGUAAGUCUUUUUUUACUAAAUUAGAUGAAAGUUCUCAUACAAUCAUGAAUUUUGGGGAUAAGUUAACUAUUUAAGUGAUGGGAAAAGGUGAUAUUCAGAUCAAAACCAUGAAUGUUUUUAUUGAAACAAUUUCAAAUGUUUUUUUAUGUUCCUAAUUUGAAAACUAAUCUUUUGAGUGCUCGUCAGUUACAAGAUAAAGUAUACAAUAUCACAAUUUUCAAUGGAGAAUGUGAGGUGUAUGAUUUGAAAAAAGGGUCCAUUGUUGUUGUUAAAAUGAGUGCAAACAUGUUAUUUCCUUUGAAGAUUAAAACACUUCAUGAUUGUCUGCUAGCUAAAAUAGAUGAUUCACCAUGGAAGUGACAGUAUAGAUUAAAGACUAUUCAACAAAAGCAAAUGGUUAUUGGUCUUCCUGUAAUUAUUCAUCCAUCAAAGCCCUGUGAAGAAUGUAUUGUUGAAAAGCAGCAUAAGGAUGCUUUCUCAGGUGAAAAAGUGGAAAGAACUCAAGUUGUGCUUGAAUUAGUUCACUCAUACUUAUGUGGACCAAUCAAUCCAACUUCCAAUGGUAAAAAAAAUAUAUUUUCAUUUAUUAAUGAUUUUAGUCAGAAAGCUUGGGUGUACUUUUUGUAGGAAAAAUCUAAAGCAUUUGAUGCUUUCAAGAGUUUUAAAGCUCUUGUUGAAAAUCAAGUUGAUAAAAAAAAAUCAAAACACUUAGAAUAGACUGUGGAGGAAAAUUUUGCUUUAUUGUGAAUCAAAUGACAUAAAGAGACAAUUGACUGCUCCAUAUUCACCACAACAAAAUGGUAUAUGUGAAAGAACAGAAUCAUUCUCAAUAUGGUUAGGAGCUUGCUUGCAACAAAAAGAGUUCCAAAAAAAUUAUGGCCUGAAACAGUGAUGUGGUCAAUUCAUGUUUUAAACAGAAGUCCAACAUUGGCAGUGAAACACAUGACGCCUCAAGAGGCAUGGAGCGACAAGAAACUCGUUGUUGAUCAUUUUAAGAUAUUUUGAUGCGUUGCAUAUGCACAUAUAGCAAGAAACCCGUUGUUGAUCAUUUUAAGAUAUUUGGAUGUAUUGCAUAUGCACAUAUAUCUAAUGAAAGAAGAAUGAACUUGAUGCCAAAAGUCAGAAAUGUGUAUUUCUUGGAGUUAGUGGAAUUUCAAAAGCUUUCAAGUUGUUUAAUCCCUCAACGAAGAAAGUGAUAAUCAACAGAGACGUUGUAGUUGAUGAAGAAGCUAGAUGGGAUUGGGUUGAUGGCAAUUUAGUUCCAAGUUUAAUAUCAAAUGAUGAUGUCUCAACUGUUAGAGGCUAGUGAAAUUCAAGAUCAACAACCAACAUCACAUGAGCGACAAUCAACUUCACCUCAAAUUCUAACUUAAUCUCAUCAACAUUUAGAAGAAGAAGAAGAAGAAGAAGAAGAAGAAAGGAGAUAUAAUUUGAAGGAUGAAAACUCAAGGAAAAGGCCAGCAUGGAUGAAUUUGACGAUAUUAUUACAGAUGAUGGUGUUUAUUUUGGAUUAUAUGUUGAUAGGGAUCUAAUCACUUUUUAUGAGGCUAUGAAAGAGAUGAAAUGGAAAGAGACAAUGGAUAAAGAAAUUGAGUCCAUUGAAAAAAAUCAAACUUGGGAGUUGACAGAUCUGCCCGAAGGACAAAAAAGCAUCGAUGUCAAAUGGAUUUUCAAGACGAUGUUGAAUGAGAAAUGUGAAAUUGACAAACACAAGACUUGGUUGGUAGCAAAAGGCUGUAAGCAAAAGAGCAUGAGAUUGGUUAUAAGGAAGUUUUUGCCCCAAUUGUAAGGCUGGAUACAAGUGAAUUCGCUUACAGCACAACACUCAUGGCCGAUUCUUCAAUUAGAUGUUAAGUCCAUGGCAACUUACAAGAUGAAGUAUUUGUUGAUGAACCACCUGGUUACGAGAAGGGUUAGAAAAGAAGGUUUAUCGACUAAAGAAAACUCUCUAUGGACUGGUAAAUAUAAAUGUGAUAUUUUUUGGGAUUAGAAGUCAUUCAAAUUGCCCUUACUAAUUUUAUUUAUCAAAAGAAAUAAGAUUCUUGCAAUGUUCAAAAUAACAUAUUGCAAGUCAUUUGCUACACCAACUAAACCUAGCUUGAAGCUGCACAAAAAUGAUGAAGGAAGAGAAAUAGACAACACUUAUUUUAAGCAAAUAGUUGGUAGCCUCGUGUAUUUGAUAUCUACCAAGCUUGACAUCAUGCAUGCUAUGAGUUUAAUUAGCAGAUACAUAGAUAAGCCGACUGAAUGCAUCUCAAUGCAGCUAAAAGCGUUUUGAGAUAUGUGAAGGCGCAAUUGAUCAUGGUGUGUUUUACAAAAAGGAUAUUGAUGUUAAUAUUGUUGAGUAUACUAAUAGGUAACUAUACAGGGGACAUUGAUGAUCGUAAGAACACUUCCAGUUAUGCGUCCAAGUUUAAUUCAGGUGCAAUAUCAUGGUUGUCAAAGAAACAGCAAAUAGUUACACUUCCCACAACCAAGGUUGAAUUUGUGGCAUCAACUUCAAGUACGAGUCAAGCAUUGUUGUGGCUUAGAAAUAUGUUCAAAAUACUUGGAGCUGAACAAUCAUAAACCAUGAUAAUAUGUAAAGCAUCAAGCUGUUAAGAAAUCCAGUGAUGCAUGAGAGAAAGCAAACAUAUGGAUGUUUGUUUUCAUUUUUUGAGGGAUCUAUGCAAGGAAGAGAAGAUAGAGUUGCAGUUCUGCAAGAGCAAUGAACAAAUUACUGAUAUUCUGACCAAACCACUUAAACAACCAGCAUUUGAAAAACUAAGGAUGCUUGAAGUUUGUUGUUCUCAAGGCAUUGAUCAAGGACUUGUCAAAACAAAUCAACCCUAAACUGUUUUCAGCAUAAAUCAGUUUAAGGGAGUGUCAAAUCAGUUCAAAGGAAUGUGAUGGUUAGAUGUUUAGUGCGUGAAGAAGAUGAUGUUGAAGGAAGGGACAAUUAUGCCGUAUGGACCUUUAUCACUGCCAACAGUCAACGAGGAAGAAGUGCAACUAUUGCAAGGGACGAAUUCCCCCUACAACAAAGCCAUAUAAUCUGAAUUUCAUUCAUUCAUUUCAAACAAAACCUAUUCGAAAUAACACUGGGAAAUUAGACUUUAGAAAUACAAUGGCCCUAAAUUCCUACAUUACCAACAUUAACAUUUUCCUACACAAAGGAAACUACAUACAUAAUUAAAUAAAUGAAACUAAGCCUUCUUAGGAGACUUCUUGGUAGCCUUGGAUGGCGAUUUAGGCUCCUUGGUCGCCACCUUUUCGUUUUUCUUUGGUAAAAGAACUGGGUUAAUAUUGGGUAAAACACCACCAUGAGCAAUGGUCACACCAGCUAAAAGCUUCCCAAGUUCUUCAUCGUUCCUCACUGCCAAUAGAACAUGCCUUGGAAUGAUCCUAUUCUUCUUGUUGUCUCUUGCAGCAUUACCAGCUAACUCAAGAACCUUUGAAGAAAUAAAAAGAAAAAAAAACCCCAAUUUUAGAAACAUACAUAAGGGUGUAUCUACACUUUAAGUUUCAAUCAAUCAAUCAAUCAAAUCCCCAACUUCUACGGGGAUAAUUCAACGGUUAAUAUAUAUAUAAGCACAUUUUAACCUAAUUCAACGCUUGGGAAAAAAUGAAAUUACCUCAGCAGCUAGGUAUUCAAGAACUGCAGCAAGGUAAACCGGAGCACCCGUUCCCACACGUUGAGAGUAUCGCCCUUUCUUCAAGUACCGGCCAAUUCGACCGACGGGAAACUGUAAUCCGGCUUUCACUGAACGAGAAACCGGUUUCUUUUUUGGACCGCCGCCUUUCCUUCCUCCGGCUCCUUUCUUCACCUUUGAUCCGGUAUCCAUCGCUUCAAGUGCAAAUUGGAGGAAAAGACUUGAAAAUCCGAUAUGAAAUCUCGCAGUGAAAUUUUCUCGAGAAAAUGUUUGUGAUUUCGUGUUGGAAAAUUAGUUCAAUUUAUAUGCGAAGUGAGAAAAAUGGGAGACAUUUGGCUUACGGAUUUGGAGACUUUGAGCCGUUUGAUAGCUUGUUUAAAGGACGGUGGAUAAGUAACAUCUUUGGCAAUCCUCGUGAAAUGGAACGAUCCAAUCAGCUUGACGGAAAGGGUUAGAUGUAUUAAUAAAGUAAAUUUUUUUUACAUAAAUUUUAUAAAUAGUCACUUAAUUAUUAAUGUGCUUCUGUUUUCAUCACUAAAAUUUAGAUUUAAUUUUUUUUAUUUUCAUCAUUGAUAUUAUUGAAAUUACCAAAUAAUUAUCAUAAUAUAUUAAUAAAAUUAUUUUUUAUUUCAGUAAUAAAAAAUUUAAAAGAGGAUAAACUAUAUAGUUAGAUCAAUCAAUUUUCAUACAUUCUUAUUUUGAACACACACAAAAAAAAAAGAAAUUUGCAAAAAGGACCCUAUUAUUAGUAAAUGUUUUCAUUUUGAUUACUUUAGGUUAUAAGGGUUGACGAAAAUCCUAGCAUGCCAUAUUUUUCUCCCACGUAUGUAUAUAAUUUCCUCCUCAUUCUUCCAGCCCUCAUCUCUCCCGAUCUUCAUCCUUCAACACAGCCCUCCACUUUACGCUACCAUUAACUUGUUGUCACCUCUAACCCGAGCCAGCUCUACAUACCAAAAAUCUCAGCCAAUGCUCCAAUCAUCCAUAACCAUCCUCAACCCCUAUUGCUAAAAUCGACCACCACCUACACUACAUCAACCACCACAUAGCCCACUCGGGUUAGCCAUUACCAUCAUCACUCGUCAUAACGGUGACCAAAUAAAAAAACCCUAACAACCCAAGAACAAAUGUUUUCAUUUUGAUCACUUUAGAUAAUAAGUGUUGACGAAAAUCCUACCUAGCACGCCAUAUUUUUCUUCCUACAUAUGUAUAUAAUUUCCUCCUCAUUCUUCCAGCUCUAAUCUCCCUCAAUCUUUAUCCUCCAACACAGCCCUCCACCUUACACUACCAUCAACUCAUUUUGUCACCUCUAACCUGAACCAGCUCCAUGUACUAAAAAUCUCAGCCAAUGCUAAAAUCAACCACCACAUAUCCGACUAGCUAACCCAUUACCACCAUCACUCGCCCUUACAGUAACCAAAUAAAAAAAAACCCCCAAUAACAAAAAACAUCCACAUAAAGAAAAACUAGUCUCUAAUAUGCAAGAAGAAAAAAGAGAUAGAAGAAAACUAAAAAGGAGAAAAAGGAACACAAGAAAAGAAUUAAACCUUUUUCAGAUCAAUAGUGGACAAUGACACUUUGCCUAAAUAAGUAAUUGUUUAAUUAUUCUAUUAAUUUAAAUUUUUAACAACAAAUAGAUGAAAAUUUAAAUAGAAAUGAUUAGCUUGCUCUUUGGUAUAACAUUCAAGUACUAAUUUGUCUCCAUAUGUUUCCCAGUACAAAACCGUACUAGUAGAUAAACAAGCUCUUGUAUGCUUUCUGGAUUAUGGAUUUUGGAAUUAUGGAAUUAUGAAAAGAUUGUAAUGGUUGAAAGUAUUAAUUAAGCUUUAAAAAAAAAUACAAUGAAUCAUAGAUUCACCUGACUAUCGUCUGCAAAAAUUGUGGGUAAUAUAUGAAUAACUUAAAAAAGCUUUUUGAAUAAAGCCAACAAUAGCUCCAUCUAUUUUAAGUUGAAUUAUACCCGCACCAUCCGACAGUUUUGUUCGUUCGGAAACCAGUUUCAGAUGGCCCCGAUUCUGGUCUAUGUGGAGGAGGUCUGUAUUCCCUUGGUUUGGCAGGGUCCACAAAAAUAACCCAUCCAUGCAAGAACUUGGCAUUCAUUUCUUCUCUAGCCUUCUCAGCUUCUUCAAUGGAUGUAUACGUAACAAAACCGAACCCUUUUGACCUUCCGGUAGCUCUAUCUCUCACGACUUUGGCUGAGACACAUUUUAAACAUAAUAUAUCAUGAUGAAAGCUGAAUGAACAAGUAUGCAAGUACAGAAGCAUAACUCUAAAGGCUAAAGAAAAAUGAGAAACCGUUAAAUUAAACCUUCGACAAUCCGGCCAAACGGGUAAAAUGCCUCUUGGAACUGUUCAUCUGUUGUUUCCCUUGAGAGACCUGUUUGAUACACCAGGAAAAGGGGUGAUAAAAUGAUCUGAAAACGUUUCAGCAGGCUAUGAUUAACGGAAUCGUUACAAGGAAAAUCAUGAUGUUCUCCCUAUUCAUAAUAUUACCAUCUCAGAUGGCAACCGGAGUUCCCCCAAACACUUCAGUAAACAGCAAAGAAGUUUUGACAAAUAAACUGAAGUGCAUGAGGGAACUCUAGUGGGCACCUGGCAUACACCUCUCUUAGUUCUUGUUUCAUACAAAUAAGCACUCGCUCUAGUUAUUUAUACCGCGUUGUACGCUUCUACGUUAUAAAAGGGCCACCCUAGGUCUCAAAAGAACAAGACAGGCUGGUUGAACCUAGACAUGAUCUUGGGUUAAGUGAAAGGGUAAAUAAAAAAAGGACAAAAAGGGCCUUUACCUUUAUGCUUAAUAUUACAAACCCUUCACUUUUAACAAGUUAUGAAGGAAUAUGCAUCUUAUCGGAACAUGCAUUUUCUUUUCCUGCCACUCUUUUUUUGAGUGCUAUUCAUUCUUCAUAUAACCCAAAAUUCUGACUAGGUUCAACAUGAUAUACUCGAAUAUUUUUCCUUCGAAACCCUUGGAGAACUUUAAAUCAAUCAAACAAAAAGUUAUUCUAAGCUAUUCAUUCUUCAUAUAACCCAAAAUUCUAACUAGGUUUUCCUUUGAAACCCUUGGAUAACUUUAAAUCAACCAAACAAAAAGACAGGAUAGCUUAUAGCAUGAAAAAAUGCUAUUCUAAGCUAUGCAUUCUUCAUAUAACCCAAAGUUCUGACUACGUUCAACAUGAUAUACACGAAUUAUUUUCCUUCAAAACCCUAGCAUAAAUCAAUCAAAAAGAAAGGAUAUAGCUCAUGGCAUGAAAGAAAGCUAUUGAAACCCUUGGAUAACUUUAAAUCAACCAAACAAAAAGACAGGAUAGCUUAUAGCAUGAAAAAAAGCUAUUCUAAGCUAUGCAUUCUUCAUAUACCCCAAAGUUCUGAGUAGGUUGAACAUGAUAUACAUGAAUUAUUUUUCCUUCGAAACCCUAGCGUAAAUCAAUCAAAAAGAAAGGAUAUAGCUCAUAGCAUGAAAGAAAUCUAUUUUAAGCCAGUGCUCAAAGCCUUUUGCCUUUUUCCUAAAAUUUGUCAUUUUAAUGCCAAUCUAUCGUAGCAGAUAACUGCCCUGAAUUUCAAAGUACAAGUUAUUUAUAUCUGGCUCAACUAAUCCAAUCCAAAUUAAUUCCUAGAUAUUGGCAAAUACAGUGCUCAAAAUCCUUUCCCUUAGGCCUAAAAUUUUUCAUUUUAAUGCCACUCAAUCAUGGUGGAUAAUAGCAUUAAACUUCAUGGUACCACUAGUCAUUUAUCACGAUUCCGUUAGACACAGCCCAACUAAUCCAAUAAGAGUUAACUCUGAGUUACUUAUCAUUAGGCAUGAUCUCAAUCCAACUAAUCCUAGCUGUUAUUUCAAUGAAUGCUAGGUUCUCAUAUUGGACUAAAGACCCUGAACCAGCUAUAGCAUUGCAAAGGGACUCCUCACUACAACUAAACCCGCCAUAGAAGAUGCCAAAAAACCAGAACCCCUUGCUUGAAAUAGGCACAAUGGCACAACACCAUAAAUACUAAUUCAAUCCUUUGUUCACUUAGAAAAGGUAUAAAAAAAGGCAAUAGCGCUAGUAGUAAUAAAGUUGAUGCCUUUUAAACUUUAAUUAGGCCCUGCUUUGGAUUAACAUCUUAUUAAAGCAUUUAGUUUGGAUAAUUAAAUCACUAUUUCUUUAAUUUUAUAAGUUGGCCUCCAUUUUACAUCUAAAUUCCUUAUUUUAUUCAAUCCAAUUUAUAAAAUUAUCAAUUUUCAAAACAAAAAUUGAAGAAAUGGAAAUGAAUAUAAAAUUAAUCACUUUUAUGGAGAAAUUUAAAGAAUGAUAAAGGGAAGGAAAUGAGAGAAUACCGCUAAUGAAAAGCUUGGGGGAAGUCAGAGUCGAACUGAGACGAAUCGAAGCCAAGUAAGAACACGGAGGGAAGGGCCCGGUGAAGGCGCGGCGGGCUCGGGAAAUAAAAGCCAUCGGGACGGAGCCAAAAGAGUCGGAAAAUUAAGGAACGGGGCACUAUUAGGGUUUAAGGGUUUUUAACAGUUGAAACGAAGGGUCUGAACUAAAACCCUUUUACAUGUUUAAUGUAUUGAUUCGCUGCAUGCGUGACUAUGAAGUGCAAACCGGUGUAACAUCCCAGCCAUUGAUGGAGUCAAUGACCCAUGAUUAUAAAUAUAUAUGUUUUUUGAAUUUAAUUGGGUUGGCCGGGUUGAAUUUUUACAAACCCUGACCCCGACCCCGACCCGAUAUUCUACUGUUAUGUCCCGACUUCAAGUUUAAAAAAAUUUAAUCCGCUCAAACCCGAAUCCAAAGAUUAAUGGUAUACUUGACUCCCAUCUUAUUCGACUUGAAUUCAAACUUUUUUAUUUGAAAUUGUGAUUAAUUAAAAUCAAAAACAUUUUGAAAAAAAAAUCAUGUUUGGGAUGAUUGAGGAAAAAAAUAGAGAAAAGAUUGUAUGAAGUUGUGAUUUUAUGUUAUCAUUAUCCCUUUCCAAUAGAAGAAUAACAAAUCAGAUUUUUCCUCGCGAUUUUUAGCAUUUUUAGUUGAAAAAGGAUUUUUAGAGAAAGAAUUGUAUGAAACUACGAUUCCACUUCAUCCCUAUCUGUUUCCAACAGGAGAAUGACAAAUCGUGAAAUUUUUCAGGAGGAAAAAGCUUUCUCCUAUUGAAAAUGGAUAAAGAUGACGUGGAAUCACAGUUUUAUACAAUUCAUUCUCAAAAAAAUAUUAUAUCAUAGAAGAAGAAAAAAAAACGAAAAUUAGAGGAAGACUUAAGAAAAUAAAUUAAAAUGAGAGAGGAAAAGAAACAAGUAUGAAAUAGAAGUUAAGGUGGUAAAAUGAUAUUAGCUAUGAUAAAGUUCAAGGAUUUUUUUUAAUUUAAUUAAUAUUAAAUAUAUAUAAAGGUAAUUUCGUAAAUAUUUCGGAGCAGGGCGGAACGUUUUUACGCUAAACCUUAUUUUGACCAUUCUCUAAAGCUAACACGCCCUGCCCCAAACCCCAAUUUUAAAAAGAAAAAAAACAACUCUAAUAAGUUGGAUCAGCUCAAAACUCGUUGAUUUUGUAGAAGAAAAAAACAAUAUUUUUGCCUUUAUUUUAAUGGUUUCAACUUAUUUGACUUUUGAUGUAAUUAAAUCUAAUGCAACUAUUGAAUAUCGAAAUAUCUUAAACCAAUAACAAAAAGAUAAAAUCUCAAGUAGAAUCAAAUCCAUUAUUUACUAGAUUCAUAGCUUGCAAUUUGAUAAAUAUUUUAAAUUUAUACAUGAAAUUUAAUUUAAUCCAGUUUAAAAUGUGAAAUUCAAUAUGAUAUAAUUAUAAAUACUUUUAAAUAUAUAUAUAUCCAUUUAUUUCCUAUAUUUUCUAGUUUGUGUUACAAUGAUUACAAUAUUAGUGAUCUAAUUUAUGAGAAUUUUUUUGUUAGUCUGGCAAUAGAAUUUUUAGAUUCAACAAACAAGGUCGAGGAGUUGACAAGUGUCAUAUAAAGAUAUAGUAAAAUAUUAAAAAAAUACAUGUCAAUUUUUUAAGAUAUUUAUGGAAUAAAAAAGUACACUACUAAUAUACAAAAUACUCUAUGGCGACGAACUCAAUGGAGUGAAUUAUAGUGAUCCUGCUAUUGUGAAAAAAUAUGCUAGAUGUGCUCCAUUGGAUGAAAUUUUUGAAUUAGAUCGUGCUACUUUGAAAUCCGAUGGUAUUUUCGUAGCAAUCCGAGGGGUUGGUUUACUUUUGAGCAUGCUUCGUUUGCCUUGCUUUUCUUCUAGCAUGGUGCUAGAACCGUGUUCAGAGAUGUUUUUGUUGGUAUUGAUCCAGAUUUGGAUGUUCAAGUAGAAUUUGGAGCAUUCCAAAAACUUGGAGAUCCAAUUACAAGAAGACAAGUAGUCUGAUGCAAGAUUGCUUUGUUAUUUUUCGCUUCUACUUCUAUUUGUGAUUUGCCAUAGGCUGCAGGAAAAUCUUGAUUUAAAUCGUUGUCUUUUUUUAUUAUUAUUCUUGUUCUUUCUUUAUCUUAUUUGGGAGAUGAUUCCAAAUAAACAAGUACGAAAGCUAUAAUUGUAAACCAUGAUCAAAUUUAUGGAAGCAUUGGUUUAUACAUUUCUCUUAGUAUCUACUCUAGGGAUAAUUUUUUUCACUAUCUUUUUUUGAGAACCGCCUAAAAUUCUAACUAAAAAAUAAAAUAAUUUUUCAUUACCUCAAUUGAAGUAAUGAACCUCCCAAUAUAUAUUUAAAUUUCAAAUAUAUAAUUAGAUAAAAUCAAAAUUUAGAUACCAUAAUAUUGGAUCAUAGAGUUUAAUUUCGAGAUUUAUUCAUUCAAUUAAUUCAAUAAAAUUAUAAAUGUCUAAAAUAUUAAUAAUUUUUUAUAUAAAUAUCAAAUAUAUUAAAAAAAAUAAAUAGUUGAAUUCAAUUAAUAUAGAAGGUCGAACUACAUUAAAAAAUAAUAAAUUAAUAAUAAUUCAAAAGUCCAAUAAUUCUUGGCAAAAAAUAAAAAUAAAAAUCAAUUUUUUAUUCACGAGUUUCCAACCUUGAAUUUCUAAUUCAAUAAACCAAUCCAAUUUGAGUGUUCUUUUUUAUGUUAAAUAAUAAGUUUUCAAUUUUUGUUCAUUUAUGAAUAAUCAAGAGUAUAUAUUUAAAAAACAACUAAAAUAAAUCCAUUAAUCAUUCAAUUGAAUUAAAGAAAAAUAUUACCGAAUUUUCUUUUCCUAGUUGCAUGCAAAAUUGCAAUGCAUGCAUUAAAAAAGGGGUCAGCAUGCAAGGCGAGUUUGGUUGAGUCACUUUUGCUUUAUAAUGUCUUUACAUCCUUCUUCAUUCGGUAUAUAGUUCUAGUUUUGUACAAAAAAAAACAAAACCAUUUAUGGUGGAUGGAACAAAAAAGAAGAACAAAAGCGAAACGUUAAGACCAACAACACAAGUUAGAACCGAUGUUAAUGCCAGAUCCUGGUAUUUCGAUUAAAAGUUAUCCGGAAGGAGAUGAUCAGCAUUAUUCCGGUAUCGGCUCUACCUUUUUCUCCAACAUCAAUGUUCCUUUGAAGAUCGUCAGUUGAAGCUCCUUUUGGUACUUGGAUAACUGAACAUCAAAUAAAGUUUACAAUGGCUUAGUUCUCUUAGUGAUUUGACAUUUGGUAUAAACAGAUCAAAAUAGACGUUCAUCAUGUUAACUGAAAGGGUCGGAUUGGUCUUAAAUUAGGCCACUCGGGUUUUAAUCGAUGCUGUUUAGUUUCAAGUUCAGAUCAUCUCAGGUCCAAGGUACAGAUUUCUGAAAUCAUAGCAUAUUAUGAAGUCUGGGUUAUCUCAAGUUACUACUCAUUUUCAUGUUUGGGUCAUUUCAUAUCCAAACUGUUCUAGGUUUAGGUUUAGGUUUAGGUUUAGGCAUGUUCAUCAUGUCAAUGGGAUGGGUCGGUUUGGUUUUACGUUAGAUCAACUCGAGUUUUAAAAUUUUUAACUAUUUAGAUUCUGUAUAGUUUCGAGUUCAACUCAGGUUAGUUUUAAAAUUUUUACCUAUUUCGAUUCUGUUUAGUUUAAAGUUACUUCUCAUUUUCAAGUUCGUAUCCAGACUAUUUUAGGUUUACAUUGUUUCGAGUUUGAGUUAAUUUUGGGUUGGAUUCAGGUUAUAAACUUUAUGGUUAAAUCAAGGUGAGUUAAGUUUCGGUGUUCAUGUUAGAGUUGGAAAGUUUAUUCAAGUCUUUCUUGUAAAGGUAAAAGAUUUAGACAGCACUUACUUGCUGCUCACUCAUCUUUGUAAAACCAAAUUUCUUCGUCCAAAUCGACAAAGCUUCAUCAGCUGCCGGGAGCACCAGGUUUUCGACAUUCAGGGAACUUAGUAAAUUCUCAAUGCAAGCAAAUAAUGCCUGGAAAUAUCCCUAUAAAAAGACGAAAAUAACAAUUAGUUAGCUUGGUCCGACAUUAUCAUAGUCAUGUUUUGACUAGAUUGGAAGACUUGAGAACAAAACCGACAAACUGUGACAGUGUAGCGGAGUUAGGGAUCUAUCUUAAAGCAUUUUAAGACGAAAAAGAAAUGCAAAAAGGAAUAAACUUGACAGCAAUUGCAUAUUCUUACUUUUCCUUGAUGUUUUCUACUUGUAGCUACAAUAGGGAGCUCGGCAACCUCCCGACCAAAUAUUCUAAGAAGGCCAGCUGAUACAACGACGGACCUGCACAUAUGCACCAUGUAUAAAUUCAUAGAUAAUAAAGUAAUCAACAAGAUAAUAACACCUCGCAACCCCGCGCUAAAGAAUAUAACGAAAGCAAGAGAGCGCAAUGUACCUCACAAUCAAAACCACGCAAUACAUUCCACCAAACUCUUGUCCUGAUAUAUUUCUCCUACAAAGUUCAAAAUCAAGAUAUCGUAUUAACCACGAAUAUUAACAUAUAUUCCUGAGAACUUUUUUUCAAGACAAAAAAGAAAAAAAUGGUGUAAGAAUGAAUACAUACCCAUAGACCAUGACGGGAAUCAAAUCACGACCCGAUUUUGCAACAAUGGGAUCAAAACAUUCCUAUAAAAAAGGAAGUGCAAAUAAUUUGAGCAAACAGGCAAUUCUUACAUACAGCUUAAGUAAUAAAAUAUCUGCAGGAUAAUCAACACUCUAAAGGCAGCUAGUAUAUAUCAUAUAGGUAAAUUCACAAAAAAUCCCAUAGAAAAAACAAAUACUUUGAGACAGUAAUCAAAUUCAGUUACAAAAUUGUUCUAUUUUUGCAAUUCUAAAAGUUUGUAUAGAUGAGUUUCAUGUCAUGAUUGUAUGCUUAAGAAAUUUUCAACUGCUUUAAUAAAAAACCAUAAGCUGAAACGAGAAUGGAAGUAUAUGCAGAUAGCAGCCAUCCCGUAAAUGUCUGUAAGUUCAUCUGUAUUCACUCCAAGAACAAGUUCCUUCUAUAUAUUGUUCAAAAGUCAUAGCCACUAAUGGCACUGAGCUUAUCUUCAAAUUACAAUUUGAAAAAGUUGGGUCAACAUAGAUUGUUCCCAACAAACACACAGUACGACUGAAAAAGCUUGGUUAAACCAACAAAAAGAUCAACAAAAAGGUAUAAAUAUCUUGAGCAACUAGGUCAACGCACUAAAAAACAUUAGUUUUAUAUCAGGAAAAACUUACUCGAAAUAUUGCAGCUGCACUUGAAAGUAGAGGCAGAUGUUCAGAAUAACGGCUUUUUCCGCUCAGUAUUCGCCAUUGAACACAAUCUGUGGCUCCAUCAAUAAGUAAUCCUUUUUCUAAAUACUUUCUUCUAAUUAUAUUUGCAAAUACAGUAGGAAUUAUCUGCACCCCACUGGAAACAUAACUCUGGAGAGCCACAUGAAUCCUGUUGCAGUCAUCGCAACAAAACCAUUUAUCCUCGGGAAUUUCCUGUAGGGUGGAAGAAAAAGAAAAGGUAAACAGUGUUUACUAAACACUUGAAUAGCAUGUAUAUGUUAACAAUUAACCUGCCAGAACAUUCAUUUCAGACUUACUUUCAAAUCACACAGUCCACUUUCCCGCAGGCAACCAACAUGGAACUCCUUCUCACACUACCAAAAAAAAUAUAUAUAUAUUAUACCAAAAAAUAUAUUGCUGGCUUGGAUUGAAAUUGGAUGAGGAAACAGCACAUACUUGGUCACAGAGAAUAACUGUUCGAUCAUCAAAUGUAGAGCCACUAAAGUCAUGACCCCUGACAAAAAAAUAAUCAAUAUCUCAUAACAAAAUAAAAUGGGAAAUAAUAAAUAAAAAUCAGAACCAACAAAAAAAUCCAAAAAUAAAAUAAGAAACCAUCAAGAAAUUAUUGACUUAUAUUGAUGGAGGCAUAGAGGGAUUUAGUCACACAUUCAUCAAGCUCACUUUAAAAAAAUAUUGGUACCAACCUGCAAACAACACAACCACCAAUUUCAAACUCUGGUGAUUUGACAACUCUUGUCAAUCGUAUCACAAUUGGUCUUGCUGUGCUUGAAGCUUCUCCAGAAACAGCUUUCCUACUAGAACCAUGUUCAUCUGCACAAUUUGGACAACACCAUUCACCUUCAGGAAGGUGCUCUAGAUUCAAACAAGCUGCAAAAAGAACAUUCAAUAGUGUUAAUGAUGAAAGGAAAUCUUACACCAAAAAGAAAAUUUAGCAAGAAUAACAGUACCAAUUUAUUUUUACAACUAAGAUGAUGUACAUUGAUAGCAAGAGUGUACAUCCACCAUUUAUUUUUGAAAAUAAUUUGUAUAAAGCUAGUCAUUAUAAUCAUUCGGCAUGAAAGCACAAAUGCAAUUAAAGCUCCAAAUGCUGACCCACAUGUAAGUGUAGUAGAUGAAUUUAUCACAUGAAUCAUUUGAUGCUGACCACUAUAUUAAAUGUUUACAAUACUAACAGUGAAUGAAGUACCUCUCUAAACAAAAACAUAUACCAAAAAGAAACAGUUCAAAAUAGAAGAAAAUACAGACAUGGAUGAAAAGCCUGAGAGCAUUCACAACGAAGAAGCAGAUCUCCAGCAUUUCCACAUACUGCACAUGUAUCAUCACUGGAACCAGUUGUAACACACUGCCCAUUUGCUAAUGACAAUGCUAUAUCAUGAAGCGUCAAUCCAUUAGAUGUAUAGAUGUGGCGAUACCUGUGUAAAGAAAGAAACUUAUCAAAGAAUUGACUUGUAACAUCGUAGAGAAAGAUCAAAUUCUGUAAAGAACACUUACGGUUGUCUUCUGGCCGCCAUUCCAGCAUGUGCUUCAAACUGUGAAGGACUAAGCUGCUCACACCAAAAAAAAAAAAGAAAAAACAUUAAACAAAAGUCAUGAACGAGAGAGGUAAUCCAGCAUCAAAUUGAUAAUUAGAACCUCACCUCUCUCUCACAACAGCAACAUACUAUACCAUUUCCCUGCUUGUAGCCCUCAAGUAACUUCUGAAAAACAUAUUAAGAAUUUUGGUUAGUAACACUAAUAGGCAUAAAUUAUUGCAAAUAAACCAUAUUAUUUCCCAUAAAUUAUUGCACCUGCCCUUUGAUGAAGUAGGUCAAUUCUGCUCCAUCUGGAAGUCCAUUUGGCAUAAAAAGUAACCUGUGUAAAUCAUUAUCCCUGCCAACAGUUUAAAGAAAUUCAAGGUUAAACCAGGCGGAUCUAAGAUUUGCAAAGAGCGGGAGCACAAUAGGCCAUACAAUACCUUUUCUUCAUACCACCAUCAGCAGUUUUCUUUCGCUUCAUGACUGAGUUAGGCCUGCUAAAGGUAGAGCAUUAGUGAAGUCAGAAAUUAAAAAAAUAGAAAAUAAAAACCAACAACACAAGUCAUAGCUAAACUGAAACAUGACAUACACAUGCUAGAUUCUAUUCCACUAAGCAUCCAGAUAAAACCAACAGGGUCGAAUCCUUAUCCAAAUUCAAAACCGAGAUAAUUAAAUGAGAUGGUCUAUCAGAUAAGGAAACAGAAGAAAAAAAAAUUUAGAAGUUGAAACAUACAAGACCACAGAAAUCGGAAUCACCAGAACUUGAUAUUUACCUCAGAGAAUUAGGCAAACUAGGAGGUUUCAUGUUAUAUAUCUUCUCUGCUUGAACAUUUCCGUUACUUUGCUGAAGACUAGCUGCAGAACAUAACAGCAUGUUAAAACAUUAACAAUAGUAACAGUUAAAUGUGGCUCUAUACUGGCAGACAUAAAACCAGGUAUCCCUUUUCUCUAAGAAGGCUGGCAGUAUGGCCACUAAUAUACCCAGAAUAGUACAUUUGAUGCCUAACACUUAAAAUUCAACCUGCCUUGCAACACAAAAAAAAUUGCAAUAAGGAAAAAGAAUCAAGUAUUCUUAUUGCACAACUGCAAGUUAGAGAGCAGAAGAAUCUGCAUUGUUCUAUUUACUCUUGCAUGUGCCACUUGAGUUGGCUUCCAAAUCUAGGGAUAGGUUGCUAUGGCAGUUACAUCAAUUUCCCUUUGUAAUUCAUUCUUCCCCGCUUUCAGUUAAUUUCUAUUACACUAGAUUUCCAAGUAAUACUCACAAGAAUUGGAUGUAUUGUAUAAGCUACUACUUUCACAUAGCAACCUAUCCCAAGAUUUGGAAGCCUGAGACUCCAAAUACAUUUGCCUAUAACAAGGGAAGCAACAUCUAGCAAAAUGGCAGUCCCCUUACUGAAUUCCUAUCUUUUUGUUUCUCUUAGUUUCAAAGAAAUUGACUGUGUAUCAACAAACUCUAUCUUGAGAACGCCCCCCCCCCCAAACAAAAAAAUAAAUAAAUUAUAAAUCUAUUCACAAACUCAAAAGGACCCAAUAACAGAUGGUAUAGGACUACAGACAACCAAGAUAAACCUAAUCAAAGCAUGAAAAAGGAAAUUAGUACCUUUCCAAUCCUGAAAGGACUCCUCAUUUAUAGAUGUACCAGCUACAUCUUUUAUAACUUCAUCCAGAAUGCUGAGUGGAGCAGUCUUGAGUUCUUGAAUA
Molecule: long non-coding RNA, 19838 nt
Filed under: Gossypium raimondii (Peruvian cotton)
Lineage: Eukaryota; Viridiplantae; Streptophyta; Magnoliopsida; Malvales; Malvaceae
Description: long non-coding RNA (GRAI_LNC001721)
Source: RNAcentral